This 4451-nucleotide long non-coding RNA is filed under the name Pelobates cultripes (western spadefoot toad). Lineage: Eukaryota; Metazoa; Chordata; Amphibia; Anura; Pelobatidae. The record is from RNAcentral.
CAGGCUUCUCCUACAUCACGAGCAGGUUAUUCACUAAAGGGAGAAUUCAAAGUCAAUACAAUUAGAAUUUCAAAUUUAAGGGCAAAAUAGCAGAACUGGAAAUAUUCUAUAAUUCAGCUUUGCUUCCAGUUCGGCUUCUCUCACUUUAGAACCCUGUGGGUUUUGGAGUUAGUGAAUACAUAUAUGUACCAGGAGAUGCCACAUUUACGUUUCAAUAUAAUGGAAAUAGCAAUGCUUAAGUUCUUGAUCCAGACCUUCGGCACCCAGAUAUUGUGGACUACGUCUCCCAUGAUGCUUUGCUAGCAUCGUUGCUGUAAGAGCAUUGUUGAAGAUCUAGUCCACAACAUCUGUAGUGAUGGAAGUCAGAUACCCUGAUUCCCAAUAUAUAGUAACAUUCUAACUCGCUGUCAGUGUUCCCACGUUGGUUUUCUGCUCUAUGACACUGUAUUACCAUUCAUUGUAAAACAGGAUUUACUGCUGUAUAGUUUCCAAUAUAGAAGCGGACAGUGUUAUUUAUGUUCCGAUUUAAACCAGAAAUAUUGUUGCGUAACAAAUGCGUUAAAGACGUAAACAUGUGAACAAUAGACAGACUGUAUAGAAUCAUCCAUAAACGGAAGGUCCUGUCAGAGGGAACCUGCCCAUCGAAAAUUCCUUAACCGUUAAAUAAGUGUAUCACACAAUAGUGCAGUGUAGAAUUGAAGAAUAGAUUAUUCUCUUAGUUUCUCUUGCAUUAAAGCCUUCUUUAUCUGUUGACCUGCAGCACAGCCUGGUAGGGCAACAUGUGAUAUUUUGUAGCAGGCCUGUGUCUGUACAAAUACUUACAGAUAUUGAGGAAGUACAACUAACUUCCUCUUUAUGAAUCCUUAGCAGACAUUGUGGGCUUUGUGUACUGGAAACUCUUUAGAUUGUUCUGAUAUCCCUUGAAAACAGUUGGACAGCACCAAUAAUCUAAUACUAUAUCCACUACAACAGGAUGCAUGAAAAGCUAAUGUUUCCUACCACUGCAUGGACCACAAUAAAUACAGUGAACCAAAAGCUGUCCAAUCCCUCGAUAUACUGUUAUAGGCAGACAACUGCCUAAUACACCGGGUCAGGAACUUCCCAAUCCUACCCAAACUGCUACAUUGCAACCAUUCUCUGAUACUGUAGCUAACGGACAUCUACUUUUCUGGUUAGUGUGAAUCAAUGAGACAGUUGGAUUAUCUUCACAAAGAACCCUGGCGUAAUCAUGGGCAAUAAUCUCCCGUUAAAACCCCAAUCCGCAGCAAAAACAAAAAGACUAACUGAAAAUACUACAAGUACACAAAAUAAUACAGCGUCCAGGUAACACGGACUCAAAGAGCAGUCACUGAACCAGUACCAUUGAUCUGGUCUACAACAUAGGUUUAUAUGUGAACAUAACAGAUUACAGUCUAUUCAGAACAAUACAGCUACAAUAAUCUAGGAAACAAAUCCCUUUCAAACAACUGUACACAAGGAACAAAACCAGACUGAUACACUAUCUAAACAUACAGAAGAUACUUGGCUCUUUGACAUUUCUUGCUAUCAUUCACCAACAUCCCUUGUUAAUUUCCACCACAUCCCAUUUUCUUUCUGACCACUGCCUCCAAUUAAGCAUAUUUGAGUAUGUUCCCCAAAUAAAGUUUGAGACAAGCAUUCUUCUGACUAUAAACUCUCUUUAUUAUAUGGUUCACGUUUGCUGCUAACACAGCAUGUCCACAACUAUAUUAAAUUAUAAACAAUAAUAAAACAAAACUGUGAUGGAUGGCCGGAUUUGUUUGGUGCAAGCCAUAAACUUGCAGCGCCAUUUUUGUGACUGUUUUCUACGUAUCUAGAUAUCGCUGUAUUGUGUAUCUAAACCAGGGCCGGCCUUAGGCCUUUAGGCGCCCUUUACAAAACAUCUUCGCAGCGCCACCCCUCCCCUGUCUUCCAUGUAUAGUGUGUGUAUAGAAGUAUUGAUUGUAUAGGGGAUUUAUUAAAUUAACCCCUUAAGGACACAUGAUGGAAAUACUCCAUCAUGAUUCCCUUUUAUUCCAUAAGUUGUUUCAUUAAGGGGUUAAUAAUGAUUUAAAAAUAAAUAUUCAUUACACACACACACACACACACACACACACACAGUUACAGGCAGACAAUUACAAACACCCACAACUACAGAUGGACAGUCAAGUACAUACAGCCACAUAUACAGUGUCACACACACACACACACACACCGUUACAUGCAGUCACACACAUACAGGCAGACAGCUGCAGACUGCCACACACACACACAAGCAGACAGCCACGCACACAGGCAGAGAGCCGCACACAGGCAGACAGCCGCACACAGACACACACAGUUAUCUCUAUUUAUUAUGGAGGUGGAAGUAGUGCAGCUCCUGAAUUCUGGUUGUUGGGGAAGCAGGGACUCCUUCCUGCUUCCCAUGCAGCAAUUACCCGGCCCUUCUAGCCGCGCCCCGCCGCAUGCAAUGUUUUUUUUUUAUAUCCCGGGUGGAGAAUAAUGAAAUCCUCCACCCAGGUAGCCGUCAAUGUGUGAGCUGUCGGUCGCAGGGAGCCCCCUGCUUCAUGGCGUCCUGUGCGGCCGCACAGCUCGCACACCCCUAAGGCAAGCCCUGACCUAUAUUAUACAUAAAACAGUGUGUGGAGGAGCAGCUCUAUAAACUAUAGUUAGGUGUGAAAUGUAAUAUUGUAAAGCGAUACGGAAUAUGUUGGCGCUAUAUAAAUGGCAAUGAUAAUAAUAAAUGUAUUCUGUGGGCUAUUCAAGUUAAAUGCUACACUGUGAGUGACCACCUGCUGUGGGAGCCAGAAAGUCUAUCUACUACAGCAAAGGGCUGUGUUGAUGUAACCAGAGAUUUCUCUGGAGGGACAGUGGGUGCAAUCAAGAUAACCUUUUGUUGUCAGGGUGUAUUGGUACAGGGGGAGGUGGUAACUAGUGUAAGGAAUCACUUUGUAUCUUUGUAGUUCUUCUCCUGUGACCUGUUCUGUAUUUCCAUUGGUGAAUGUUUUGUGUAAUGUUUAUUUCACUGUAUGCUGUGAUCUGUGUAAGCUGGGUCUGGAUACAAUAAACAGUCAGAGUGAGUCUGAGCUCUGAGGAGUUGUCAAGAAAGAAGUUGGUGUUGUCUCUACCUUGAGGUCUCACAAGAUAUGGCUUUUCAUUGUCGUUUAUAGAGUAAUUACUAAUAAGGGUAUUGCCAGAAGACUGGAUGGAUAGAAUAUCAUGUAGUAACCAGAUAUCCGCUCAGUAUAUCCUGCGGACGCUACCAAAGAGGAGUCCUAGCAUUUAGUGGAGCAGUUUAGUGCUGCAAGUUAUGUUAAAAGACCCACGGAUGAUAUAUUAAGACCGUAUCGUCACAAAAACCUAUAUGUAAAGUCCAACAAAUAUUUGGGAAAAUUCUGAGAACGAAGAAAAUAAAAUACACCAAUAUAAUCACUGUGUGGGCAGCUUUAUGUGUAGAUGGGAUUGCUAUAUGUGACCAUUUAUAUAUGAAAUAAACAGAUUUUGGACAGAGAAUGUAAAUGUUACGAGUUGGGUGUAUAGCAUCUUUGCUAGAUAUGAGACACACACGGCAAGGUCUGAGAUUGUAUCCAAAAAGACGAUUGGGGACCUCAUCUGCUUUUCAGACAGGUAUUGGAGUUCUCUGUGCCAUUUAGGUCUCAGUUGUGUCAUUUUCUAUUUAAGGUACUAAAUACAGGUUAGGUUACAGGUAUACUGGGUGCUUUUUUUGGUUUUAACUUUUAAAUAUCAUCUAUUAAAACAUUACUUGGCUAAAUAAUCCUUGCCUUUAUGCCUCUUACUACCAACCUUCAGUGUGUCCCCUGUGGCUCCAUUUAUGAUGCCAUACAUGACAAAAUGAUGCAGGCUUCUGGAAGGUACAGUCGAGCUGGUCGUUUUAUACAUCAGAAAGCGGUCACGUUAAAACGCUCACAAAUCCUUGCUGUAGCCAUAAAGUACUGAUUAUAGGAUAAUCCUGACAGCGCUACAGAACGUUGAGUAGCAGCCACUUGCUGGUAUGAGAGCUCACUGUAGAUUCUGCAAUGCAUGGAGAUUUGCAGGAACCUCAACUAGGAGGAUUUGUUUCUCCCCCAUACUUUUUAUAGAUCAUGCAAUAAUACGAAUGAAUCACAUACAUACUCGGGAAUUCAAAGCAAAUUUGGACAUUAACACCAAACUAGCCACUAGGAAAUAGUUUCCCGUUCAUAUAGGCUUUUCAUUUGUCUAUAAAUGUGAAACUCCUUUUUGAAUUCUAGACAAUGUACAUUUUAAUGAAUAUAACAGAAAAUUACCUAAGGAUAGGAAAAACCUAUCCUCAGGGAAUGGAAAGGGUUACAGAGGUAAGAGAAGGCAUAACCCUUGAAACCAAAUAAUGAAAAGAACUAAUGUUUAGCUUCAGCCUAGGAAAGCCAGCCAGCCAGCCCCACAGAAAUGACCUAUUGUGUAGAGAUCAAUAUAAG